AGGACAAUGAUGAGGACAAUGACGACGAGGACGAGGACGACAAUGACAGGAGCGCUUUCUAUGUUCUGGAUACUGAUGCUUUGUGAGUGGGGGGAUUCGAGCAACGUUUCCAAGUGGAGAUGCUUGUGCCACAAGGAUGUGCGCUGCCCACCGAAGGAGGCCUUUCACCUUCACGACUCAGAGGCCCAAAGACUUUGAGCUUCUCACUAAGACAGCGACAGUAAAGAAAGGUCCUUUCCUUGACCUGAGCUUGGACCUCAGCCCAUGGUGGUCCUGUUCUGGAUUUAGGGUUGACAAUGACGUCAGAGCAAAGAGGGUGAGAGUCUGUGAAGGACAAAUGCAGGUG
Long non-coding RNA from Phacochoerus africanus (Common warthog), 346 nucleotides. RefSeq lists it as uncharacterized. The transcript is spliced from 3 exons. Lineage: Eukaryota; Metazoa; Chordata; Mammalia; Artiodactyla; Suidae. The record is from RefSeq and is a predicted model, not a curated record.